This 470-nucleotide ribosomal RNA is filed under the name uncultured bacterium. RNAcentral describes it as "partial 16S ribosomal RNA". It matches the Rfam family "Bacterial small subunit ribosomal RNA", at positions 28 to 507 of the family's 1533-position model. The record is from RNAcentral.
GACGAACGCUGGCGGCGUGCUUAACACAUGCAAGUCGAACGGUGAACGAGGGAGCUUGCUCCCUCCGGAUCAGUGGCGAACGGGUGAGUAACACGUGAGCAAUCUGCCCCGAACUCUGGGAUAAGCGUUGGAAACGACGUCUAAUACCGGAUACGACGCGGGAGGGCAUCCUCUCCGCGUGGAAAGAACUUCGGUUCGGGAUGAGCUCGCGGCCUAUCAGCUUGUUGGUGAGGCAACGGCUCACCAAGGCGACGACGGGUAGCCGGCCUGAGAGGGUGACCGGCCACACUGGGACUGAGACACGGCCCAGGCUCCUACGGGAGGCAGCAGUGGGGAAUAUUGCACAAUGGGCGCAAGCCUGAUGCAGCAACGCCGCGUGAGGGACGACGGCCUUCGGGUUGUAAACCUCUUUUAGCAGGGAAGAAGCGAAAGUGACGGUACCUGCAGAAAAAGCACCGGCUAACUACGUG